UAAGUGAGUGGCUUGCGUGGUUUAUACAUGCAGUCGAACGAAGUAGCAAUACUUAGUGGCAGACGGGUGAGUAACAUGUAGGUAUCUUCCCUUUGGUGAAGAAUAACACGAGGAAACUUGUGCUAAUACUUCAUAAGUCUUUACGGAGAAAGCUUUAUGCGCCAAAGGAUGAGCCUGCAUUUGAUUAGUUUGUUGGUGGGGUAAUGGCCUACCAAGACUUUGAUCAAUAGCUGAUCUGAGAGGAUGAUCAGCCACAUUGGGACUGAGACGCGGCCCAAACUCCUACGGGAGGCAGCAGUAGGGAAUAUUGCACAAUGGAGGAAACUCUGAUGCAGCGAUGCCGCGUGAGUGAAGAAGGCCUUUGGGUUGUAAAGCUCUUUCGUCGGGGAAGAAAAUGACUGUACCCGAAUAAGAAGGUCCGGCUAACUUCGUGCCAGCAGCCGCGGUAAUACGAAGGGACCUAGCGUAGUUCGGAAUUACUGGGCUUAAAGAGUUCGUAGGUUGUUAAAAAAGUUGGUGGUGAAAUCCCAGAGCUUAACUCUGGAACUGCCAUCAAAACUUUUUAGCUAGAGUAUGAUAGAGGAAAGCAGAAUUUCUAGUGUAGAGGUGAAAUUCGUAGAUAUUAGAAAGAAUACCAAUUGCGAAGGCAGCUUUCUGGAUCAUUACUGACACUGAGGAACGAAAGCAUGGGUAGCGAAGAGGAUUAGAUACCCUCGUAGUCCAUGCCGUAAACGAUGUGUGUUAGACGUUGGGAAUUUAUUUCCAGUGUCGCAGCGAAAGCAUUAAACACACCGCCUGGGGAGUACGACCGCAAGGUUA
This 819-nucleotide ribosomal RNA is filed under the name uncultured bacterium. RNAcentral's name for it is "bacterial SSU rRNA". It matches the Rfam family "Bacterial small subunit ribosomal RNA", at positions 22 to 896 of the family's 1533-position model. The record is from RNAcentral.